Molecule: non-coding RNA, 338 nt
Organism: Heterocephalus glaber (naked mole-rat)
Lineage: Eukaryota; Metazoa; Chordata; Mammalia; Rodentia; Bathyergidae
Source: RefSeq, a predicted model, not a curated record
UCGAUGACCCGCAGGUCGGCAAUCUUCUGGCCUUCAGCCGACCCCACGGUACCGGCAGUGGCAGCCAUCUUGGGAGAGCGGCGCGCGGCUGAGGCAGCGAGCAGGCUGAGGGCAGCGGCGGCGGCGCCAACUUCCUCCCAGGCCUCGGCCUAAGUGAGAACUCGCCUUCACAACCAACCCAUGUCCAGAUGGACUUACUGCGUGAAAGAGGAAAGAACCUACAGAAAAGGAUACUGUGUUACUAAGGAAGUUUCACGUGGCAUAAUGUUGAGGUCCCUCUCAUUAUCAUUAUGGAUGCCUUUCUCUGGAAGCACUCCAUAUUUUCAGUGUUCCUGUCU